This is a long non-coding RNA of Aedes aegypti (yellow fever mosquito), 611 nucleotides long. RefSeq lists it as uncharacterized. Lineage: Eukaryota; Metazoa; Arthropoda; Insecta; Diptera; Culicidae. The transcript is spliced from 2 exons. The record is from RefSeq and is a predicted model, not a curated record.
CAAACCGGUAAGCUGUACUGCUAUCUGCCCACUCUUCGCUCUCGCUAUCCGGCCGGUCGGCAUUGGCGGUUUUGCCGGUUGCGUUGCCUCGGAAUAUUCAUCUCCGAAUGGCAAGGUCGCCACGUCGUCGUCGUCCCGCAACGCCAACUGUCAUCGGCUCGUGAUCUGAUAGGUAGCCGCUUGCCACCGUUUAUACGAUUCGAAAGGAACAACACGAUUCGAAAGGAAUUCGUUUCUAUCGAUGAACUCGUCAAAGACAGGAAGCAAAUAAAGGAAACCCGAUUGAUUUCCUACGCAAAGGCAAUUAUGGGGUCACGAGGAGCAAUCGAACCGAAUGAAUUCAUAACUUCUCAAAGCUCUAUGGCGAUUCAUUCAUUAGGGGUCGUCCAUAAACCAUGUGGUUAUUGAGGAUUUUAUUCGUGAUCAACAAUUGUUGUCUAAGGUGACAACUACUGGGAUUCUUCUGCAGGUGUGACACCUGCUCAGGUGUUCCACUUUAAAUUCCGCUAAAGGAAUUAUAUAUUCUUAAGAUUCACUAGAGGAGUUUCUCCUUGAAUUUUUUUUAACGUUACGUAAUAAAUGAAAGCAACUUUACUUUUCUUACCCAUUUA